Molecule: ribosomal RNA, 448 nt
Filed under: uncultured bacterium
Lineage: Bacteria
Description: SSU rRNA
Rfam family: Bacterial small subunit ribosomal RNA
Source: RNAcentral
AGAGCGAACGCUGGCGGCAGGCUUAACACAUGCAAGUCGAGCGGAUGUAGCAAUACAUCAGCGGCAGACGGGUGAGUAACACGUGGGAACGUACCUUUUGGUUCGGAACAACACAGGGAAACUUGUGCUAAUACCGGAUAAGCCCUUACGGGGAAAGAUUUAUCGCCGAAAGAUCGGCCCGCGUCUGAUUAGCUAGUUGGUGAGGUAAUGGCUCACCAAGGCGACGAUCAGUAGCUGGUCUGAGAGGAUGAUCAGCCACAUUGGGACUGAGACACGGCCCAAACUCCUACGGGAGGCAGCAGUGGGGAAUAUUGGACAAUGGGCGCAAGCCUGAUCCAGCCAUGCCGCGUGAGUGAUGAAGGCCCUAGGGUUGUAAAGCUCUUUGUGCGGGAAGAUAAUGACGGUACCGCAAGAAUAACGCCCGGCUAACCUUCGCGCCAGCAGCCGC